Molecule: ribosomal RNA, 99 nt
Filed under: Fusobacterium mortiferum
Lineage: Bacteria; Fusobacteriati; Fusobacteriota; Fusobacteriia; Fusobacteriales; Fusobacteriaceae
Description: partial 23S ribosomal RNA
Source: RNAcentral
GGAGGUUGAUAGGUUGGGGGUGUAAGGGCUGCGAGGCCUUUAGCUGACCAAUACUAAUAAGUCGAAGUUUUAACCUUACCUGAUAUUACUAUAUAGUUU